GAAUUUGAUGUUUUUAGGAUCUCGCAACACAUUUAUGAGUCCCUCACUUCAAAAGCUUGCCAAAGCACAAACCUAGAUCUGCUUCUAUCAAAGUUGCAGGCAACUUUGAGGGAUAAAAGGUUCUCCUUUGUUCUUGAUGACAUCUGGAACAAGAAUUAUAACCAGUUGGAAUUCUUAAUGCAUCCCCUUGAGUCUGGAGCACAUGGAAGCAAGAUCAUUGUCACAACACGUGAUGAAAAUGUUGCACAUAUGAUGGGUAGCCUUGAAGCUCACCAUCUCAUGCCAAUGUCUGAGGAAGAUAGCUGGUUGUUAUUCAAAAAACAUGCCUUCAAAAAUGCAGGUGUUGGUACACACUCACAUCUUGAAAAAAGCGGUAGACAAAUUGUUCAAAAGUGCAAUGGUCUUCCUUUGGCUAUUAAGUGCCUUGGGGAUCUCUUAUGUUCUAAAUUGUUAGUGGAGGAAUGGGAAAGUAUAUUGAACAGUGGCAUGUGGGAGUUCUCACCGGAUGAGUGACAUUCUGCCAUCUCUAUGGUUGAGCUAUCUAGAUCUGCCUCUACAUCUCAAGCGUUGUUUUGCCUAUUGUUUCACUAUAUCCCAAGAACUAUGAAUUUCAAAAAUCAGAGUUGGUUUACUUGGGGAAGGCUGAAGAUCUAUUGCAGCAUAAAAAAAAACAAAAUGGCAGAAGAAGUCGGACAAGACUACUUCAAUGAUCUAAUCUCAAGAUAAUUUUUUCAACUUUCAUCAAGUUCUAAUAGAUAUUUCAUCAUGCAUGACCUUAUCAAUGAUUUAGCAAGCUUUGUAUCUGGAGAAUUUUGUUUUAGGUGGGAGGGCACUAAUUCACCCAACAGUUUGAGCAAGACUCGUCAUUUUUCAGAUAUGCCAGAAUAUCAUUAUCAUGAUGAAGCUGAGAGAUGUUUGAGGCUUUACAGCAAGCUAAAUGUUUGCGCACCUUUCUACUAUUAGAACCACGUUGUUUGUUGAACUUGAACAAAGGACGAUGUGAUAUAUUGCCAAAAUCACAAUGUUUAAGAGUGCUCAAGGAAUUGCCUGAUACAAUUAACGACUUGAGACAUCUUAGGCACUUGGACUUGUCUUGGACUCCCAUCAAAAAGUUACCUGAUACAAUUUGUACUUUGUAUAACUUGCAAGUAUUGCUGUUGUCAAACUGUCGAGGCCUUACUGAACUGCCAGCCAACUUGGGAAGAUUGAUCAACGCCAUAUGAAGGAGAAACAGACCAUUUCCAUUUCAUACGCAGUUUCGUGGAAAGUGAGCAAAAUUUCUUGAUAUGUUAAGACAGAGAUAGGCCAAGGUUUAGAUUGCUCGCAGGACCAAUAUUGCCAUGUCUUGAUGCCUGAGUUCUUCUCUUCUCUUCUUAUCUGAACUUGCAGACUGUUAUUUAUCUCCUCCACUCAUUCACACAAACACAAGAAUAUAUUUAGAGUUUCCAAGCAGAAUGAAAAUCACAGAGAGAUGAGAGCCAAUUUCGGGUCAGUGCGAUAUCAGCUCCCUGGAUUUUACAAGUUCACAACUAUAUGCAGUGCUGCCGCUAAAGCAUCUCAGAAUACUUGUAACUGUUGGAAUCUCAUAAAUUUGAAGUCAUUUUGUAUAUCACCCAGAAUUGAAGAAUGACCUUAAAGGUUGUGGCACUUCAAUAUUAUCUCAGGAGCAAUAAUUUUGUGAGCCGAAUCUUGGUUCUGUGUAUGGGAAAAAGAUACAUGAGGAUCACCAGUUUUGCAUCCUCACUGAACAGAACUCGGUCUCCAUCCUGUAUCUGUAAGAUCCUUUCCAGUUUCUAAGUUAAUCGAGUGUUACACAGCUUAGAGGUUGUGGCCCUUCUCAUUCUUUCAUGGACACUUAAUCAAUUAGCAAACACCUACUCAUUGUAAGUAAAUAACCCGAGGACCAGAGAUUUUUGCACCUUCAUUGACAAGAAUAUGAUCCUUUCCCUUCCAUGCAUAAUAGUAAAUUGAUCAGUUUUGUUAACAACAUGCCGCUAGAGUACUGGUGAGGCACUCCUUAGCCUUAGGCCAGGGAUUCAUGCUUUGGGACAGCUGGCUAGCUAAUGUAUCUAUUUGUUAUCUAUACUUUACAUGCAGCAUCCCAUUAAGCAAAAUUUUCAUCUUGGUAACUGGCCAUGAGUAGUUUACUCCUUGGUGGGAUAUUUCUAUGCCUUGAAGGAGAAACAUCUGUUGAAGCCUUCGAUUUUUGAGGGCUUGGAAUGAAUUUAGUCCUUUUGUCAGUUGACUUUAACUUGCAUGAAUGUGAAGAAGUAGAUUCCUUUCUGGAGGAGCAAAUGUUGCCCAUCUCUCUCACCACUCUCAAUAUCUACUGAAUGAAUCUCAAGACCAUGGACGGCACCAAGUGGUCUGCAGCUUUGCGCAUCUCAACUCUCUCCAAACCUUGAAGGUUUCGUUUUGCUUUGAGCUCCAGUGCUUGCCAGAUAUUGUUAUACGCAGCAGUGCUUGCCGGCCAGAUAGUUGGCGACUCACUUCUGUUUUUUAUCUUCAAAUCAAUGGACGUUCUUUGCAAGGGAAGACUGAUUGCAUCCCCCACUUAAUGAUGACAACAGUGCUCAUGAAUGAUGAACAAAUUUGAAUGAUGAGUAACAAACAAUCAUUGGUAGUUGAUGGGAGAAUGUAUAUGAUUCUCUAAUCACAUUGUAAUGCGCAGUUGAUCCUUAGGCCCUGAAAUAAACCUGAAAAACUGGCUAAUGCAUUCUGGCUGAAAAAUGGUGCCAAAUAGAGCAAGGGGAAGAUUGUCCAAAGAUUUCUGGCACUGUGACAUUUAUCUGUAUGGAAAAGAUAUGAUGCGGUU
Long non-coding RNA from Rosa rugosa (rugosa rose), 2815 nucleotides. RefSeq lists it as uncharacterized. The record is from RefSeq and is a predicted model, not a curated record. The transcript has 5 exons. NCBI's taxonomy places the organism in Eukaryota, Viridiplantae, Streptophyta, Magnoliopsida, Rosales, Rosaceae.